This is an RNA transcript of Parus major (Great Tit), 856 nucleotides long. It is a transcript of the gene named LYR motif containing 2, with no coding region annotated. The record is from RefSeq and is a predicted model, not a curated record. The transcript is spliced from 4 exons. Lineage: Eukaryota; Metazoa; Chordata; Aves; Passeriformes; Paridae.
CCCGCCCGCGCGGGGCGGGCUGGGCAGCCCCGUGGCGGGGCAGGAGAAGGGGCGGAGCCACAUCAUGGCCGCCGGCCGCCUUCCGCCGGGCGCGCUCACCCUCAAGCAGUUCCUGAGGCGGCAGCAGGUCCUUCAGCUCUACCGCAAGAUCCUGCGGGCUAUCCGGGAGGUCCCUGCGGAGCAGGAUCGCCGCUACUUAAAGGACUGGGCCAGGGAGGAAUUCAGGAGAAAUAAGGAUGCUACAGAAGAGGUGUCGCUUCCAGACUGGUCAGAACUCCUGCUGCCUCAUCUAUGCGAAGAAAUAAUCCAGCAUAUCUAAACUUCCCUCUUAGCAGUAGUAAUGUUUCUCAAAAUCACAGACAAUAAUCUGGAAAUAAAAACCCAAAGAACAAACACUCUGCUCAAAUUGCAGAUAAGGAGAACAGUAUUGAAUAAUACGGAUGCAAUCAGGAUGAUGAUUACUCAAGGCAACAUGCAACUUCAGGAACUUCAGAGAACACUUAAGCUGGCGAAAUCCUGAUCUUCAUUUUGCUGGCAAUUAGAUUUUCAUCUGUUGUAAAUAAACUGUUUUUUCCAAAAUGUGGUUAUAAUGGCAGCCUUUGCUGGCAACCUGCUAAUGUUUGAAGGAGGAAUCUACCACAGUGGGGGUUUGGUUUUCUCCCCUUCCCCAUCCAUUUCUCAGUUUGGGUACCCUCAGAAGUGGAAAUCACUUGGAUCACAAAGAACAUUUAAGAACUGCAUGGAUGAUAUAGCGUGUGCUGCAGGAAAAGCAGAAAGUACCAAAAAUUUCAACAGCUGUGUUAAUGCCAGUGCAAUGGAAAAUAAAUGUAUACUGUUUUGUCUGUGUUUUACUGUG